Non-coding RNA from Dama dama (fallow deer), 1572 nucleotides. Lineage: Eukaryota; Metazoa; Chordata; Mammalia; Artiodactyla; Cervidae. The record is from the annotation of a RefSeq genome assembly.
CACUGACAGUAAGAACAACAUUUCUCUGGCCCCAGGACUCUAUACCCUUCAGAGUAGGGGCGAAGGCACCUCAGUACCUGGGCAAGGGAUCAUGAAGAGGCAAUGGGGAGCCCUGCUGGGGCUUCUGUGGGUCCAGAUCUUCUGGGUGAGAGGAGUGAAGGUGGAGCAGAGCCCUUCAGUCUUGAAGCUCCAGGAAGGAGCCAACUCUACUCUGAGGUGCAAUUUUUCUGCCGCAGUGAGCAGUGUGCAGUGGUUCCAGCAGAAUCCCGGAGGCAGCCUCACCACGCUGUUUUUCAUAACUUCAGGGACGAAGCAGAAAGAAAGGCUGAGUUCCACAGUGAAUUCUAAGGAACGGUAUAGCACCCUACACAUCGCAGCCUCCCAGCUGGAAGACGCAGCCACCUACCUCUGUGCGGUGGAGGCACAGUGCUCCCUGGUGAUCUGCAGCCUGUGCCCAAACUGCAGCUGCCUCAGCCCCGCCCCUCCGCAGGGCUACACCAUGCAAGUACCUUGUUACCUCUUUGGGCUUCCAGAUUCACACUUCAGCACUUUUUUCUUCCGAAGAUCUGAUCCUUUAGGACUGUCAUUUCACUAUUUGUUUUUGUUUUUUUGCCCUUCUUCAUCCCAGAAAUCUCUCGUGGAUAUAAAGCUCUAAUAUGGAACCAUUGUCAUAACUGAUGUAGAUGCCAAUAUUCAAUGUCCUGUUAAAACAGUCUAGUGCUCCUGACAGAUAAAAUAUAAGCUACAUAUAAAUUUCUCUGAUGGAAAAUGCUUGAAAAAAAUAUAUGGUGAUCAACAAACAGAAAGAGAUGACUCAAUUUUUUGGUUAACUGCACGUGUGUGUUCCUUCAAAGUGAAAAGGGAAUUAAAUGUGUGUAAUGCUUUAAAAGUUUGUAUUCAGAUUUUUGAGUCCUGGUAAUAACAAAUAUAAGAAAAAUAAUUUUUUAUGUGAAGACAAGGCAGAGACUGGAGCGCUGUGUCUGAAAGUGAAGGAGCACCAAACACUGAGGGCAGCUGCCACAGGCUGAGAGAAAGGCACGGGUCUACAGCGGCUUAUCCACAGGUACCGACAUUUGAGACUAACCAAGAUUUCCUUCAGCAAGUGGAUGGAUAAGUAAAUUGUGGUACCUCCAAACAAUGGAAUAUUAUUCAGUGUUAAAAAGAAAUGGGCUGUCAAACCUUAAAAAUACAGAGGAAACUUAAAUGCAUGAUACUAAGUGAAAGAAGUCAAUCUCAAAGGCCGCCUACUAUAUGAUUCCAGCUAUAUGACAUCCUGGGAAAGGCAAAAUUAUAAAGAGAGUAAAAACCAGUGAUUGCAAGGAUUGAGGGGAGUGGAAGGAUGAAUGGGGCAGAGCACAAAGGAUGUUUAGGGGUGAAACUACUCUCUGUGAUACUAUGAUGAUGAACACGUGCCACUGUACAUUUGUGUAAACCCAUAGAAUGUACAACAUCAAGAGUGAAUCCUAGUAAACUAUAAACUUUGGGCAAUUAUAAUGUGUUAAUAUGGGCUCAUCAGUUGUGAGAAAUAGACCAGUCUUGUGUGGAAGUUGAUAAGAAGAGAGGUUAUGCAAG